GUGAAUUCAAAAUCAUAUUACAUUUAUAACAAAUCAGAAAAUUACCCUAAGAGUUCAAAGAAGAACCCAUUUAUUUAUUAAUAUAACAAACUUUUUUUUUUCUUCUAGUUUUCAAAUUAUAUGUAUAACUUUAACAUACCUAGAAAACUUAAUAUGUAAAGACCAAAUUUAACCACUUAGAUAUUUAAAAUACAUCAAAUUCAAGGGCAUUUAGACUUGCCCUUAGAGUUCUUCUUGUCCCUAUAACAAGGACAUUCAUGUUUGUUACCAUAAGUUCCAGAAGGCACGCAUUUGCAUUCUUCACAACAAAUUCCACAGUAUUUCAAGCAUCUGUCCGCAAGUCCUGCCUUUGAACAUCUCAGCUUGCACUUCGAAUCACAAAAAUAUGAACCAGCCAUAGUAGUUUGAAUGAAAGAAGGGGUAAUAACAAGAGUGACCAAAAAGCAGAGUUAAUAGAAAUAACUUCAUUUUUUCUAAGAUGAAAAUUUGAUGAAG
RNAcentral lists this unclassified non-coding RNA (495 nucleotides) under Hevea brasiliensis (rubber tree). The record is from RNAcentral. Lineage: Eukaryota; Viridiplantae; Streptophyta; Magnoliopsida; Malpighiales; Euphorbiaceae.